RNAcentral lists this ribosomal RNA (406 nucleotides) under uncultured Methanomicrobiales archaeon. RNAcentral describes it as "bacterial SSU rRNA". It matches the Rfam family "Archaeal small subunit ribosomal RNA", at positions 932 to 1338 of the family's 1478-position model. Lineage: Archaea; Methanobacteriati; Methanobacteriota; Methanomicrobia; Methanomicrobiales. The record is from RNAcentral.
AGAUAGACAGCUGAAUGAUAGUCGGGCUGAAGACUCUACUUGACUAGCUGAGAGGAGGUGCAUGGCCGUCGUCAGUUCGUACUGUGAAGCAUCCUGUUAAGUCAGGCAACGAGCGAGACCCACGCCAACAGUUGCCAGCUCGUCCUCCGGGAUGGUGGGGACACUGUUGGGACCGCCUCUGCUAAAGAGGAGGAAGGAAUGGGCAACGGUAGGUCAGCAUGCCCCGAAUUAUCUGGGCUACACGCGGGCUACAAUGGGUGGGACAAUGGGUAUCGACACCGAAAGGUGAAGGCAACCUCCUAAACCCAUCCGUAGUUCGGAUUGUGGGCUGCAACUCGCCCAAAUGAAGCUGGAAUCUGUAGUAAUCGUGUCUCAAAAUGGCACGGUGAAUAUGUCCCUGCUCCUU